Molecule: transfer RNA, 86 nt
Organism: Hypholoma sublateritium FD-334 SS-4
Lineage: Eukaryota; Fungi; Basidiomycota; Agaricomycetes; Agaricales; Strophariaceae
Rfam family: tRNA
About the family: Transfer RNA (tRNA) molecules are approximately 80 nucleotides in length. Their secondary structure includes four short double-helical elements and three loops (D, anti-codon, and T loops). Further hydrogen bonds mediate the characteristic L-shaped molecular structure. tRNAs have two regions of fundamental functional importance: the anti-codon, which is responsible for specific mRNA codon recognition, and the 3' end, to which the tRNAs corresponding amino acid is attached (by aminoacyl-tRNA synthetases). tRNAs cope with the degeneracy of the genetic code in two manners: having more than one tRNA (with a specific anti-codon) for a particular amino acid; and 'wobble' base-pairing, i.e. permitting non-standard base-pairing at the 3rd anti-codon position.
Source: Rfam
GUCGGUAUCGAUUAGGGGUUAAAUCACCUCGUUGUGGAUGCUUACGUAAGCCCGAGGAGCCACCAGUUCGAAUCCGGUUACCGACA